Molecule: long non-coding RNA, 673 nt
Organism: Leptidea sinapis
Lineage: Eukaryota; Metazoa; Arthropoda; Insecta; Lepidoptera; Pieridae
Exons: 2
Source: RefSeq, a predicted model, not a curated record
UGGUACUACUUCCACUUAAUAUUUGUUGAGAUUAGGUAGUUUAAAGAAAAACCAUAACAAUCACUAUUACUUUUCUGUAUCAAAAUGUUUUUCGUAUUGGUUAUUUGGAACUGUACAAUUCUCUAGAAGCAAGAAGGACACUUGAUCAGAAUUUAGUGUUAUUACAGCUUUUGUAACAAUUAUACGUUCCAGGUCGACAUGGCACACCCGUUCACGAGUUGACGCAUGGACCAGCCAUCAUUCUUUUCGCACAUUUGAGGGAAGGAGACGACCCGACACACGACGCAGCCGCAAGCAAUGCCAUUACAGUGAUCAAGACGACCCGUGUUAUACCUACGCAUGAUAACUACAAAAUUAAUGCUCACAAAGCAAGCCCACAAAUGAUUCUAUGUAUUUCAAUUGAAGUGGAUUUUAGAUAAACCAAAAGAUAUACUUAUAUUAUAUUCAUGUCACAUUCAUAAGAUUAUAAAAUCUUAAUAUGAAGAAUUAUUAUUAGGUGGACAAGGAGCCUCUAUUUUCCAUUCUUCUUUAUCCCCUACAUAUUCUUUACUCGUACGCUUAGUAGGCUUUUUGAAUAAGGCAAUUCUUUAUAAAAAAUAAUUUAGAAAUUUUUAGACGUGUAAUUUUUAUUUGGAAAUUUAUUAAAAAACAAAUGAAUUUUGUAUUUUACCGA